This 732-nucleotide ribosomal RNA is filed under the name uncultured Leptotrichia sp. Its description in RNAcentral is "bacterial SSU rRNA". It matches the Rfam family "Bacterial small subunit ribosomal RNA", at positions 28 to 776 of the family's 1533-position model. The record is from RNAcentral. Lineage: Bacteria; Fusobacteriati; Fusobacteriota; Fusobacteriia; Fusobacteriales; Leptotrichiaceae.
GAUGAACGCUGACAGAAUGCUUAACACAUGCAAGUCUUUGGCGAAGCUGUGCUUGCACAGCCUAGCCAAGGCGGACGGGUGAGUAACGCGUAAGGGACUUGCCCUGCAGUCAGGGAUAACAGACGGAAACGACUGAUAAGACCUGGUAAAGUCAGGCGGACUCAUGUCCAGCCUGAUGAAAAGGAAUGCUGCAGGAGAGCCUUGCGUCCUAUUAGCUUGUUGGUGGGGUAACGGCCCACCAAGGCGAUGAUAGGUAGCCGGCCUGAGAGGGUGGACGGCCACAAGGGGACUGAGAUACGGCCCUUACUCCUACGGGAGGCAGCAGUGGGGAAUAUUGGACAAUGGGGGCAACCCUGAUCCAGCAAUUCUGUGUGCACGAUGAAGGUCUUCGGAUUGUAAAGUGCUUUCAGCAGGGAAGAAAAAAAUGACGGUACCUGCAGAAGAAGCGACGGCUAAAUACGUGCCAGCAGCCGCGGUAAUACGUAUGUCGCGAGCGUUAUCCGGAAUUAUUGGGCAUAAAGGGCAUCUAGGCGGCCCUGUAAGUCUAGGGUGAAAACCUGCGGCUCAACCGCAGGCCUGCCCCGGAAACUACAGGGCUAGAGUGCUGGAGAGGUGGACGGAACUGCACGAGUAGAGGUGAAAUUCGUAGAUAUGUGCAGGAAUGCCGAUGAUGAAGAUAGUUCACUGGACGGCAACUGACGCUGAAGUGCGAAAGCUAGGGGAGCAAACAGG